RNAcentral lists this ribosomal RNA (360 nucleotides) under Allochromatium sp. JA821. Its description in RNAcentral is "bacterial SSU rRNA". It matches the Rfam family "Bacterial small subunit ribosomal RNA", at positions 73 to 437 of the family's 1533-position model. Lineage: Bacteria; Pseudomonadati; Pseudomonadota; Gammaproteobacteria; Chromatiales; Chromatiaceae. The record is from RNAcentral.
GGGGAGCUUGCUCCCUGGGUGGCGAGUGGCGGACGGGUGAGUAACGCAUGAGAAUCUGCCUGGCAGAGGGGGAUAACCCGGGGAAACUCGGGCUAAUACCGCAUACGCCCUACGGGGGAAAGGGGGGUUUCGGCCUCUCGUUGCCAGAUGAGCUCAUGUCCGAUUAGCUAGUUGGCGGGGUAAAGGCCCACCAAGGCGACGAUCGGUAGCUGGUCUGAGAGGAUGACCAGCCACACUGGGACUGAGACACGGCCCAGACUCCUACGGGAGGCAGCAGUGGGGAAUAUUGGACAAUGGGGGAAACCCUGAUCCAGCAAUGCCGCGUGGGUGAAGACGGCCUGCGGGUUGUAAAGCCCUUUC